Long non-coding RNA from Erpetoichthys calabaricus (reedfish), 1702 nucleotides. RefSeq lists it as uncharacterized. NCBI's taxonomy places the organism in Eukaryota, Metazoa, Chordata, Cladistia, Polypteriformes, Polypteridae. The record is from RefSeq and is a predicted model, not a curated record. The transcript is spliced from 2 exons.
UUUAUACAGAACAUGUACAAAGAUGCUAGCUAUUGAAAAAAAACCAACAUAACAAAUGUAAAGAAUAAUAAAUAGAUUGACUUACAUUUAUUGCAUAUGAAUAAAUUAAUUCCUUCUUUAUGGCGUGGUAAAGAAGUUUAUCUUCACUGUUGUCACAUCUACAGUAUACAUCUAUACAUUCUGAUUUGCUGCCCUCUAGUGGCAUUGAGUGAACCAGUGUGCCUGACAAAAUUCUCUCCCUCUUCCAGGAUUUUACAAAAUAAUAAGUUUUUGCUUUUGCUGGUGUUUCAUUUGUUCCUAUUAGAUUGCUCACAUAAUCUUUACUUUGGACUUCUGAGAUAAUGGGUCAAUUCUUUGCGUGUAUUAAUUUCAAUUUUCCAUACUGGAUACCCUAGUUAAGAAAAAAAGAAAGAAUUAUAAGGAAGGUUAAGGUACACUUUGCUAGCCUCCCUUUGUCCUGUUAGUAGUAUACCUUUCUUUCAGUGCCAGGUGACACCUAACCCACAGUUCCUUUUAAAGUCUGUUUUGAUAAAGGAUUACAGAAUUGCUUCCACAUAAAGGAAUAAAAAGGUAUUCCUUUGACAUCCAUCUUACUGCCUCGAAGCUUUCCUGUUGUAACCUCUAUGAAAAUUCUUUCAUUUUCACCUUUUUGAAUGUGACACCUGCUGUUCCAAAUAUUUUAAAAAACUAAGGUAGUGUAACACACAAAUUAAAAAAAAGCAUAUUCUGUAUGCUGAUGUAACACCAAACAGAGCCUCAGUUGACGUCUUUAUAUUUGUACAUAGCACUGACUGACUCAUAGCUGCACUUGAGUAGACCCUGUUCUAAAGUGUUUCCCACUGUUCUCUCUACAGAUGAAGAUGAAGAAUUUGAGGAAGAAGAGGAUGAGGAAGACAAUGAAGGGGAAAAGGCAGAGGAUGGCCAAGCUGAUGAGACAUCUUGAAGCCAUACUCAAAGUAUCCUAGGCCUACUGCCAACUCAACUACAAGAAAAGGGUGCAUGAUUAGGUGGAUUCACCACGACUUGUGAAGCCCAGUGGCGCUUGAUGAAGAAAGAAAAAUGGAGGUCAUCAAAUAAGUUGGUGUUUUACUGUCACUGAUCAGCGCAGCAAAGCUGGCUGAUCAGACGUGAAAGAGAAGAGAAGCAAUGUGACCACGUACGACUGAUGCUGGUCAUCUUCUUAACAAGAGACUGUAAAGCUACGAUUUAUUUGUUUUCCUCUCGGAGUGGAAAAUUCACUGCAAUUUCCAGACAACGGACUCUUUUUAUACAAGGUGCAAAAUGAACCGUUUUGUACAUUUUAUAUAUUAUUUUUGUACUGGAUAUCUUUGGAACAACAUGUUUUGUAAUGUAAUGAAAUAAAUGAAUCAUUUGCAGGCUGUAUCUGAGCCAAAAUGGACUUACGUGAUAGAGCCUGUUUAGUUACUGUAUUGCUACGGCUUGUGUCAUUGCACUGUGGCGAGUAGAUUUAAGGACACAAUUUCCCUGCAGUGUUCCCACAGAGAAUGCAUGCUGAUUUUUUAUUAUUAUGAUGAUGAUGAUGAUGAUUCUUAUUAUUUUUCCAGAUUGUUCAGAUUUGUAAAAUAAUCAGGGAUAAAUGUAAUGACUUGAAUUAAAGAUGUAUUCAGGUUUCACUUUAUUUUUUCUGUAAUACUGAAAUUGUAUUUAUUGUGUAGAGAGGUAAAUAAAUAAUGGCAUACAA